RNAcentral lists this ribosomal RNA (1384 nucleotides) under Mactra quadrangularis. RNAcentral's name for it is "eukaryotic LSU rRNA". It matches the Rfam family "Eukaryotic large subunit ribosomal RNA", at positions 29 to 1212 of the family's 3401-position model. The record is from RNAcentral. Lineage: Eukaryota; Metazoa; Mollusca; Bivalvia; Venerida; Mactridae.
UGAAUUUAAGCAUAUCAGUAAGCGGAGGAAAAGAAACUAACUAGGAUUCCCUUAGUAACGGCGAGUGAAGCGGGAAGAGCCCAGCACCGAAUCUCCCGGUUAAGCGGCCGGCGAGAAAUGUGGUGUAUAGGUGGCCGAUUGUCGGCGAGGCGAGUGCUCAAGUCCUCCUGAUCGUGGCCUUGCCCAGAGCGGGUGUCAGGCCCUUGGUGGCGCUUGCUGCCUCGCCGGCUUCGAGCCUCCUUGGAGUCGGGUUGUUUGGGAAUGCAGCCCAAAGCGGGAGGUAAACUCCUCCUAAGGCUAAAUACUGGCACGAGUCCGAUAGCGGACAAGUACCGUGAGGGAAAGUUGAAAAGCACUUUGAAGAGAGAGUUCAAGAGUACGUGAAACCGCAUAGAGUCAAACGGGUGGAUCCGCUUGGUCGUCUCCCGGAAUUCAGCCUGCAAGCCGGUGGCCGCCUGUGCCUGGCGAUCUGUAACAGGACGCCGAGCGCGGGCGAGCUCGCCGGUGUGCGGGUGCACUUUCUGAGAGACGAAUGCCACGACCGGUUCUGGCGCGGUCAUAAGCCCCGCAGCAAGGUAGCGUUCCCCUUCGGGGGCCCGUGUUAAGGCUGCGGAGGUGGGCUCGCGCCGGGACCGAGGACGAUGCCGCCGUCUCCGGCCUCUGGUCGUGCUAGGGUGUUCGACUGUGGAAGCGCGGCUUCGGCCGUGCUCUGCGACCGCUCCUUGGCAAGGACUAGUACGCCGCGACGGCACUAUGGUCUGUGGCGUCUCGGUCGGUCCUCCACCCGACCCGUCUUGAAACACGGACCAAGGAGUCCAGCAUGUGCGCGAGUCAUGGGGCUCUACGAAACCCAAAGGCGCAAUGAAAGUAAAGACGAUCUCCGAUCGUCCAGGCAGGAUCUCGGCUACUCGCUAGCCGAGCGCACUGCCGGCCCGUCUCUGCCGCAUUGACGGCGAGGCGGAGCAAGAGCGUACACGCUGGGACCCGAAAGAUGGUGAACUAUGUCUGAGCAGGACGAAGUCAGAGGAAACUCUGAUGGAGGUCCGCAGCGAUUCUGACGUGCAAAUCGAUCGUCAGACUUGGAUAUAGGGGCGAAAGACUAAUCGAACCAUCUAGUAGCUGGUUCCCUCCGAAGUUUCCCUCAGGAUAGCUGGCACUUAUAUCAAGCAGUUUUAUCCGGUAAAGCGAAUGAUUAGAGGCCUUGGGGGCUAAACGCCCUCAACCUAUUCUCAAACUUUAAAUGGGUAAGAAGCGUGACUCGCUUAAUUGGAGCCUCGCCUCGAAUGCAAGUGCCAAGUGGGCCACUUUUGGUAAGCAGAACUGGCGCUGUGGGAUGAACCAAACGCCCGGUUAAGGCGCCCGAUACUGACGCUCAUCUAGUAUA